RNAcentral lists this ribosomal RNA (506 nucleotides) under uncultured Methanofollis sp. RNAcentral describes it as "bacterial SSU rRNA". It matches the Rfam family "Archaeal small subunit ribosomal RNA", at positions 256 to 766 of the family's 1478-position model. The record is from RNAcentral. Lineage: Archaea; Methanobacteriati; Methanobacteriota; Methanomicrobia; Methanomicrobiales; Methanomicrobiaceae.
CAAUACUAUCGAUACGGGUUGUGGGAGCAAGAGCCCGGAGAUGGAUUCUGAGACACGAAUCCAGGCCCUACGGGGCGCAGCAGGCGCGAAAACUUUACAAUGCAGGAAACUGUGAUAAGGGAACCCCGAGUGCCCGUAUGGACGGGCUGUUCAGGUGCUUAAAAACCACCUGGAGAAAGGGCCGGGCAAGACCGGUGCCAGCCGCCGCGGUAAUACCGGCGGCUCGAGUGGUGGCCACUAUUACUGGGCUUAAAGCGUCCGUAGCUUGGUCGUUAAGCCUCUGGGGAAAUCUUCCGGCUCAACCGGAAGGCGUCUCAGGGGAACUGGCGACCUAGGGAUCGGGAGAGGUGAGAGGUACUCUGGGGGUAGGAGUGAAAUCCUGUAAUCCUCAGGGGACCACCUGUGGCGAAGGCGUCUCACCAGAACGACUCCGACAGUGAGGGACGAAAGCUGGGGGAGCAAACCGGAUUAGAUACCCGGGUAGUCCCAGCCGUAAACAAUGUGCG